CACUCUAACUACUUUGGAAAACAAUUUGGCAUGAUCUCUCAAAACCGAUGUGCCCUGGAUCCAGCAGUUCCUCAUCCAGGGGUAGUCCCUGAAGAAACAUCUGCACAAGUGUGGCAGGAAUAAGCCUCAUGAUAUUCAUAGCAACACGGUUUACCCAGCAAAAGGCUAACACGGGCCAAACGCCCACAGAGACACACAGGGAUGAGCUGGAGCAUUGCUGCACGGUGUCGCACAGAGAGGGGAAGACAAAGCUGACUGACGGCUCAGGAAGGUGUGCACGUGUGUAGAAGCGUGAAAGGACAGCCUGGUUUCUGGUCGAGCACUGGUUGGAAAUUGCCAGAGACCCCGAAGGGUUCCCUGCCAGGGACAGCAGGUAUUACACCACGUUCCCAGACUCUAGGCUCAUGACACGAGAUCACAGACCUCCAUAAAUCUGUGCCGUUCAGUCACAUAGGAGCCCCUCCACAGGUAGAGGGCGUGACUACAGGCCACAGAGCCUCAAGACAGAUCUCCAUAUUAAUGAGAUACCUAAAGACCAGAGGGGCAUAACCAAUUAAACAUUCCUUCUCAGAUCUUCCUCCUUACAAAAGGUAUUUAACCUCUGGCCUGCCCUGAAAAUAUAGGGGUAGAGUUUUCAUCCAUUUUCCGCCAUGACAAUAGAUAUCUUAAGACCAUAGCCUAUUUCUCUUCCUUGGGACCUGCUAUGGGGAACAGUGGAGAAGGUUUUCAACUACCAAGCAACAGACCUCUCUACAUUCUCAGCCAUGGAAGCCAAGCAACACAAGCAAGCAAGCCGAGCCAGCCAUGACCCAGCCAAGCUAGUUGCUGUGACCACGACUCUCAUACCUGCAGCACACAGCUGGAACUCAUCCUUCCCCCUCUCCUCUUCGGUCUCAGCUCUUCUGCAGCACCCCAGCAGUACCUGAGAGCCCAAGGACCUGAGAAUCACUGUUCCCCAUCCGCCUUUUGGCACGGGGACCCCCAACCCAAGAGCUCUGGCUCCCUGCAGGACCUCAGACUGUGCUCUCCCACCCCAAGCAGAGUCCUGAGGCUUCAAACAGCACCAGUGGAGUGAGCACAGUCAAAUUCCCAUGCCUCUGUCCCCAUAAGAGGCCCUAGUAGCCAUAUGACAAGACAGAGGCGGUACUCACACAUCAACCCAACAAAACCUAUGCACACUACAACCCAACACUCGCGAGUAUGUGUGCCUGUGGUGUUAGACUCACUGGAACAGGACAUGGAUACCAGGAAACAGUCUCUUCUGUGGUGGGAUCCUGGGUUCAAACUUAGGUCCCGGCUUGUGUGGCAAGCCUCUUACCCACUAAGCCUUAUCACCAGCCCUGCCUCCAUUUAUACAAAGGCGGGGAAACCACCAACACAUGAAGAGAUACAGCAUCUGUUUUUUUUUUUUUUAAUGUCGUGAAUAGCAAUCACAAAACAUGAUUGUGUCUGGAGGGGAGAGAAGCAGAAGCUACUGGAGAUCUGAGAAGUCACCGACAUCCCUUCCCUUAAACUGGGUGGGACAGCCAUGUACGCUAAUUAUGUCACGCUUCUUUAUCGCUUACAUAUGUUUUGUAGGCACCAAUUUUGUGUAUCAGUUUCAUAUUUAAUAAAAACAGAACUUUAA
Grammomys surdaster is the source of this 1627-nucleotide long non-coding RNA. RefSeq lists it as uncharacterized. The transcript is spliced from 2 exons. The record is from RefSeq and is a predicted model, not a curated record. NCBI's taxonomy places the organism in Eukaryota, Metazoa, Chordata, Mammalia, Rodentia, Muridae.